This 76-nucleotide transfer RNA is filed under the name Erysipelotrichaceae bacterium. RNAcentral's name for it is "tRNA-Met". It matches the Rfam family "tRNA". From Rfam's summary of the family: Transfer RNA (tRNA) molecules are approximately 80 nucleotides in length. Their secondary structure includes four short double-helical elements and three loops (D, anti-codon, and T loops). The record is from RNAcentral. Lineage: Bacteria; Bacillati; Bacillota; Erysipelotrichia; Erysipelotrichales; Erysipelotrichaceae.
GGCUGAGUAACUCAGUUGGUAGAGUAGCCGGUUCAUACCCGGUAUGUCGACGGUUCAAGUCCGCCCUCAGCCACCA